CCUACGGGGAGCUGCAGUGGGGGAUAUUGCACAAUGGGGGGAACCCUGAUGCAGCGACGCCGCGUGAGCGAAGAAGUACCUCGGUAUGUAAAGCUCUAUCAGCAGGGAAGAAAAUGACGGUACCUGACUAAGAAGCCCCGGCUAAAUACGUGCCAGCAGCCGCGGUAAUCCGUAGGGGGCAAGCGUUAUCCGGAUUUACUGGGUGUAAAGGGAGCGCAGGCGGCGUGCCAAGUCCGGUGUGAAAACCCGGGGCCCAACCCCGGGCCUGCAUUGGAAACUGGCGGGCUAGAGUGUCGGAGGGGCAGGCGGAAUUCCUAGUGUAGCGGUGAAAUGCGUAGAUAUUAGGAGGAACACCGGUGGCGAAGGCGGCCUACUGGACGAUGACUGACGCUGAGGCUCGAAAGCGUGGGGAGCAAACAGGAUUAGAUACCCUAGUAGUC
This 440-nucleotide ribosomal RNA is filed under the name uncultured bacterium. Its description in RNAcentral is "partial 16S ribosomal RNA". It matches the Rfam family "Bacterial small subunit ribosomal RNA", at positions 338 to 795 of the family's 1533-position model. The record is from RNAcentral.